GGGUUGUGAGGUUAAGCGAAUAAGCGUACACGGUGGAUGCCUAGGCAAUCAGAGGCGAUGAAGGACGUGCUAAUCUGCGAAAAGCGUCGGUAAGGUGAUAUGAACCGUUAUACCCGACGAUAUCCGAAUGGGGAAACCCAGUAUCCAAUGGAUACUAUCAUUAACUGAAUCCAUAGGUUAAUGAGGCGAACCGGGAGAACUGAAACAUCUCAGUACCCCGAGGAAAAGAAAUCAACCGAGAUUCCCCUAGUAGCGGCGAGCGAACGGGGAGCAGCCCAGAGUCUUAAUCAAUAGCAGUGUCAGGAGAACGGUCUGGAAAGUCCGGCAGUAAAGGGUGAUAGCCCCGUAUCUGAAGAUGCUGUUAUUGUGAACUCGACGAGUAGGGCGGGACACGUGUUAUCCUGUCUGAAUAUGGGGGGACCAUCCUCCAAGGCUAAAUACUCCUGAUUGACCGAUAGUGAACCAGUACCGUGAGGGAAAGGCGAAAAGAACCCCGGCGAGGGGAGUGAAAAAGAACCUGAAACCGUGUACGUACAAGCAGUAGGAGCCUCUUUAUGGGGUGACUGCGUACCUUUUGUAUAAUGGGUCAGCGACUUAUAUUCUGUAGCAAGGUUAACCGUAUAGGGGAGCCGUAGGGAAACCGAGUCUUAACUGGGCGAAUGAGUUGCAGGGUAUAGACCCGAAACCCGGUGAUCUAUCCAUGGGCAGGUUGAAGGUUGGGUAACACUAACUGGAGGACCGAACCGACUAAUGUUGAAAAAUUAGCGGAUGACUUGUGGAUGGGGGUGAAAGGCCAAUCAAACCGGGAGAUAGCUGGUUCUCCCGAAAGCUAUUUAGGUAGCGCCUCGUGAACUCAUCUUCGGGGGUAGAGCACUGUUUCGACUAGGGGGUCAUCCCGACUUACCAACUCGAUGCAAACUGCGAAUACCGAAGAAUGUUAUCACGGGAGACACACGGCGGGUGCUAACGUCCGUCGUGAAGAGGGAAACAACCCAGACCGCCAGCUAAGGUCCCAAAGUCAUGGUUAAGUGGGAAACGAAGUGGGAAGGCUCAGACAGCCAGGAUGUUGGCUUAGAAGCAGCCAUCAUUUAAAGAAAGCGUAAUAGCUCACUGGUCGAGUCGGCCCGCGCGGAAGAUGUAACGGGGCUAAACCAUGCACCGAAGCUGCGGCAGCGACACAUAGUGUUGUUGGGUAGGGGAGCGUUCUGUAAGCCUGCGAAGGUGUACUGUGAGGUAUGCUGGAGGUAUCAGAAGUGCGAAUGCUGACAUAAGUAACGAUAAUGCGGGUGAAAACCCGCACGCCGGAAGACCAAGGGUUCCUGUCCAACGUUAAUCGGGGCAGGGUGAGUCGACCCCUAAGGCGAGGCUGAAAAGCGUAGUCGAUGGGAAACGGGUUAAUAUUCCCGUACUGGUGGUAACUGCGAUGGGGGAACGGAGAAGGCUAGGUUGUCCGGGCGACGGUCGUCCCGGUUCAAGCAGGUAGGCAGAGUGAUUAGGCAAAUCCGGUCACUUAAUGCUGAGAUGUGAUGACGAACCACCAAGGUGGUGAAGCAAUUGAUGCCCCGCUUCCAGGAAAAGCCUCUAAGCUUCAGGUUACCAACAAUCGUACCCCAAACCGACACAGGUGGUCAGGUAGAGAAUACUCAGGCGCUUGAGAGAACUCGGGUGAAGGAACUAGGCAAAAUGGUGCCGUAACUUCGGGAGAAGGCACGCUGGCGGUAGGUAAAGUCCCUCGCGGACGGCGCCCAAGCCAGUCGAAGAUACCAGCUGGCUGCAACUGUUUAUUAAAAACACAGCACUGUGCAAACACGAAAGUGGACGUAUACGGUGUGACGCCUGCCCGGUGCUGGAAGGUUAAUUGAUGGGGUCAGCCGUAAGGCGAAGCUCCUGAUCGAAGCCCCAGUAAACGGCGGCCGUAACUAUAACGGUCCUAAGGUAGCGAAAUUCCUUGUCGGGUAAGUUCCGACCUGCACGAAUGGCGUAAUGAUGGCCAGGCUGUCUCCACCCGAGACUCAGUGAAAUUGAACUCGCUGUGAAGAUGCAGUGUACCCGCGGCAAGACGGAAAGACCCCGUGAACCUUUACUAUAGCUUGACACUGAACAUUGAGCCUUGAUGUGUAGGAUAGGUGGGAGGCUUUGAAGUGUGGACGCCAGUCUGCAUGGAGCCAACCUUGAAAUACCACCCUUUAACGUUUGAUGUUCUAACCUAGGCCCAUAAACUGGGUCGGGGACCGUGUCUGGUGGGUAGUUUGACUGGGGCGGUCUCCUCCUAAAGAGUAACGGAGGAGCACGAAGGUUGGCUAAGCAUGGUCGGACAUCAUGCGGUUAGUGCAAAGGCAUAAGCCAGCUUGACUGCGAGAGUGACGGCUCGAGCAGGUACGAAAGUAGGUCUUAGUGAUCCGGUGGUUCUGAAUGGAAGGGCCAUCGCUCAACGGAUAAAAGGUACUCCGGGGAUAACAGGCUGAUACCGCCCAAGAGUUCAUAUCGACGGCGGUGUUUGGCACCUCGAUGUCGGCUCAUCACAUCCUGGGGCUGAAGUAGGUCCCAAGGGUAUGGCUGUUCGCCAUUUAAAGUGGUACGCGAGCUGGGUUUAGAACGUCGUGAGACAGUUCGGUCCCUAUCUGCCGUGGGCGUUGGAAGAUUGAGAGGGGUUGCUCCUAGUACGAGAGGACCGGAGUGAACGCACCACUGGUGUUCGGGUUGUCAUGCCAAUGGCAUUGCCCGGUAGCUAAGUGCGGAAGAGAUAACCGCUGAAAGCAUCUAAGCGGGAAACUUGCCUCGAGAUGAGUCUUCCCUGUCGCUUUAAGCGACCUAAAGGAACGUUUAAGACUAAGACGUUGAUAGGCUGGGUGUGUAAGCGUAGCGAUACGUUGAGCUAACCAGUACUAAUGAACCGUGAGGCUUAACCUGACAACACCGAAAGUGUUUUG
This 2930-nucleotide ribosomal RNA is filed under the name Proteus mirabilis. Its description in RNAcentral is "23S ribosomal RNA". It matches the Rfam family "Bacterial large subunit ribosomal RNA". Lineage: Bacteria; Pseudomonadati; Pseudomonadota; Gammaproteobacteria; Enterobacterales; Morganellaceae. The record is from RNAcentral.